Molecule: ribosomal RNA, 433 nt
Filed under: uncultured bacterium
Lineage: Bacteria
Description: partial 16S ribosomal RNA
Rfam family: Bacterial small subunit ribosomal RNA
Source: RNAcentral
AACGAACGCUGGCGGCAUGCCUAACACAUGCAAGUCGAACGAGACCUUCGGGUCUAGUGGCGCACGGGUGCGUAACGCGUGGGAACCUGCCCUUAGGUUCGGAAUAACUCCCCGAAAGGGGUGCUAAUACCGGAUAAUGUCUUCGGCCCAAAGAUUUAUCGCCUUUGGAUGGGCCCGCGUUGGAUUAGCUAGUUGGUAGGGUAAAAGCCUACCAAGGCGACGAUCCAUAGCUGGUCUGAGAGGAUGAUCAGCCACACUGGGACUGAGACACGGCCCAGACUCCUACGGGAGGCAGCAGUGGGGAAUAUUGGACAAUGGGCGAAAGCCUGAUCCAGCAAUGCCGCGUGAGUGAUGAAGGCCUGAGGGUUGUAAAGCUCUUUUACCCGGGAUGAUAAUGACAGUACCGGGAGAAUAAGCUCCGGCUAACUCCGUG